CGUGGUUUCCCGCGUUGCCUUUAAACACGUCGGCUCUUUCCUAGCCGUUCUGCGUCCACUAGCAUGAUCGCAGGGGCGUGGCCUUCCAGCCCGCCGGCUAGGGAUCCAGCGGGGACCCGCCUCCCGGAGAACAGCCGCGGAGUCCGGGCCCCGCCCCCGCCUCGGCCACGCCCCCGCCUCGGCCCGCCGCCCAGCUUUACGGCGGAGGACGCGCCGCGACGUGGGCGGCCGUGAAGCGCCCCCGCCCCACCCCCGGCAUCAGCGUCCCGGAGCGGAGCGGCCUCCCGGCGCCUCCCGCGCUCCCCGAGCCGCAGGCCCGCACGAUGGCCGGCCUCGCGCCGCGGGUUGACUACCUGGCGGGCUUCUGCUGCCCGCUCGGGGGCCUGGCGGCGGGCAAGCCCCGCGUGCUGUGCCUCGGGGCGGAGAUCUUCCUGUCCACCGGGAGCGAGCUGGUCUACGUCUACGACCAGGAGGCGGGGCUGCUGACCGCGGUGUACAGGUUUCCGGGUCAGGUGUGGCACCUGGAGCUUCUGGCCCUUCGCAGGGCGCUUUACGUCCUGUGCGCCCACAGGGGCAUCUACUGCUUGUCGUUGGACCAGGCGAUCAGGUCUGUGAGCCAGGAUGACGGGGACGAUGGGGACAGUGAGGACAGUCAGGACGGUGAGUCCCCUUCCCGUGUGAUCCCUGUGGAUCCAGACGCCUGUGUCCUCCAUGAUGCCACGCUGUGCACUUUCACCGUGCUCGACAAUUUGCUCAUCACCUUAGCACAGGGCCCCGCCCGGUGGAAGGUGCAGCUGUUCGAGUGUCCCUGUCCAGGAGAGGACCCUCGGCUCAAAGGCCAGAUCGGUGAGGUGGAGUUGUCCACCCCCCCAGCUGGGAGUCCGAGAGAGCCUGCAGCCCCCUACUUCCUCCCAGUGCUGUGCUGCAUGUCACCGCCAGGCUCCAGAGUCGCACACAGCCACCUGCACGGCUCCAGGGGCUUCACGCUGGAGGAGACCCUCUUUGGGCUACUCUUUGGAACUGAUGCCUCCCUCCUGGAGUCACCCGUGAUCCUCUGUGGUCUCCCCGAUGGCCAGCUUUGCUGUGUGGUCCUGCAGACCCUGGUCACCUCUGGGUUGGCCCCUGGUGACUCGAAGGCUCUUGUCAAGAUCCUCCAUCACCUGGAGGAGCCCGUCGUCUUCAUUGGGGCCUUGAGGACAGAGCCACUGGCUGAGAACGUGGAAGACUCACACUCCGACUGCCUGGUGGCACUUGGUCAUCAUGGCCGGACACUGGCUGUCAAGGCCAGCUGGGAUGAGGCUGGGAAUCUGGUGCCAGAGCUGCGGGAGUACUGCCUCCCGGGGCCUGUGCUCUGUGCAGCCUGCGGCGGGGGCGGCCGCAUGUACCACAGCACCCCCUCGGACCUCUGUGUGGUAGACCUGGCUCGGGGAGGCACUCCCUGGGACCCCAUGCAGCCGGACAGGGGCCCAGGAGGCUUGCCCUCUCUGCUGUGUCCAGCGAGCUUGAGUGUCUGCAGCGUCGUCACCCUGUCUGUGUCGUCUAGGGCACCUGAAGGUGGCACUGAGCUCUUGGCCCUGUCUGCCAAAGGCCGCCUGAUGACCUGCAGGCUGGACCUGAACUCUGAGACGCCUUCCCCUACCAGAGUGACCGCAGCAAACACUGGCCGAAAAAUCAAGGAAUUGCUCUCUGGAAUUGGCACCGUCUCUGAGAGAGUGUCUUUUCUGAAGAAGGCAGUUGACCAGCGGAACAAGGCUCUGACGUGCCUCAAUGAAGCCAUGAACGUGAGCUGUGCCCUGCUGUCAAGCCGGGAGGGCCCCAGGCCCAUCUCAUGUACCACCACCACCACCUGGAGCCGCCUGCAGCUGCAGGACAUGCUUACGGCCACCUGCCUGCUGGAGAACAGCAGCGACUUCAGCCUGGACCGGGGCUGGGCCUUGUGCAUCCAGGUGCUCACCAGCUCCCAGGCCUUGGAGCUGGACUCGGCCAGCUCAGCGGUCACCUACACCAUCCCCGUGGACCGGCUCGGCCCUGGCAGUCGGCGGGAGGUGACGCUGCCCCUGGGCCCUGGCGAGGACGGCAUGCUCGAUCUGCCUGUGACCGUGUCCUGCGCACUCUUCUACAGCCUCCGGGAGGUCGUGGGCGGGGCCCUCACCCCCUCAGACUGUUCCAAGGACCCCUCCUUGGAUAUGUGCCCCCUUGAUGUCCUGCCUGAGCAGGAGGGCAUCUGCCUGCCCCUGAGUGAGCACACGGUGGACAUGUUGCAGUGUCUGCGCUUCCCCAGCCUGGCCACACCCCACAUGCAGGCCCCCAGCCUGCUCAGCCCAGUCAGUGACCCUGUGGACACCUUCCUGGGAGCUUGCCUUGGGCCAGGCAGCAAGCUGGCUGGACCUGCGUCUCUGCGGGCCGCCUACCUGCCUCCAUCAGUGGCCGCCAUCAAGGUGUCAGCGGAGCUGCUGAGGGCCACCGUGGGGGACAGUUACUCAGGCGUGUCCUUAUGCUGUGCCACCCUGCAGUGGCUCCUGGCCGAGAAUGCUGCUGUGGACAUCGUGAGGGCCCGAGCACUGUCCUCUGUGCAGGGAGUGGCCCCAGAUGGCACCAACGUCCACCUCAUCAUCCGCGAGGUGGCGGUGACCGACCUGUGUCCGGCAGGGCCUCUCCAGGCCGUGGAAAUCCAGGUGGAGAGCUCCUCUCUGGCCAACAUGUGCCAGGCACACCACGCUAUCAUCGGGCGUAUGCAGGCCCCACCCCGGACCCUGAGAAUCAGAGGACCUGAGAGCUGAGCUUUAACAAGGAUCUGAGGGCUGUUGUUCGAGACCCACUGGAACUGAGCUGCAAUGGGACGCCCUGCACCAGCCUGGGUGGGUGCCACUCGACAGCUGAGAUGGGUGACCCUGAUGAUCAUGUCACGUGGCACUGUGACCCCACUGAGACCCUGAUGACCAUGUCACACAGUGCCGUGACCCUGCUGUGACUCUUAUGCUCUGGUUACCCAGCACUGUGACUGUGACCCUGCUGAGAUCACAGUGCCAUGGUGAGCCUGCUCAGGAAUUUAGGCCUGAGCACUUUGAGUCGUCAAGGUGGUCUCUGGGGCAGUGGUACCACUUGUCAGGGCUCUGCCCACUAGGGACACCCAUUCCCCAGAAUGGGUCCCUCUCCCUGCCGAGAGCAGAGCUCCAGCACCUGCAUUUCUCUGCCCCAGAGAGGAGCCACGUGCAUCAUUGGCAUGCUCUCCCUGGGCCUGGAGUGUUGGGCCAUCUGCAGACUGUGCCAAGUGUGGCGGCCACGAGGUGGACAGUAGCGUGAAGCCGGGGGAAGGAGCGUGCUGAGCGGACUUCCAGCAAGAAGUGGGGGGUGGUUAGUGUCCUGGGGCAGCCGUGACAAAGCAGCACAGAUGGGGCACGAACAACAGGAAAGCGGGGCUGGAGGCUGGCAGUCCGCGAUCUGGGUGCCGGCAGGGUUGGUUCCUCUGAGGCCUCUCCGUGGCGUGCAGACGGCCGUCACCUCCCUGUGUCCCUAUGUGGUCAUCCUUCUGUGCAUGUCUGUCUCCUAAUCUCUUGUCAUGAGGACACCAGUCAGAUUGGCUUAGGGCCCAGCCACGACCUCACCAGCCUCAUCACCGGCAGAGACCUUGUCUGUGAACACAGUAGUGUGCUGAGGUACUGGACUUGGGGCUUCUGUGUGUGAACGCCGGCGGGCACAGCUCAGCCCCUGAUAGUGCUGUAGACGCUCCCCGGAUGGGGGUUCACGCGGGCCUCACACCUGUCCGUCCUCCAUCAGCCAACGCCGAGCUCUGUGUUGUGGGGGUUCCUGUAACAGCAUUCGUCACCUGGCCACAUGGAACAGUCAGGACCCUGCCAGGUGUGCAGCGUCCACCAUGGGCCGGCCCCUCCUGCUGCCCAUCAGGGUGUCGGGAUCUCUUCUCAGCACUUUGUUCCCAAGGCCAGUGGGGGCCUCGCUGCCUAGAGCUGCCUGGGAGCUUGGGUCUGAGCUCCAGGAGCCGCCGGGCUUCCUCCAGAAAGCGGGAUGUGGAGCAGCCUCUGUGUGGGCCGUGCUGAGUGGAUCCGCCAGGGGGACAGCUCCAGGGGCCGCCUGAGACGGGGCAGGAGGAGCGGGCACUGAGGCCUGAAGCUAAAGAUGGGAGAAGGGGUGGCUCUGUGGGGCCAAGGCGGUGGGGAGCAGAGGGGAAAGGCCUGAAACUUUCUUCCAACGGAUGGUCGUCGAGCAGGCCGCCCGGGGAUCCAGCCCGCCUGACCUCCGUAUGCAGUAUCUCUACCAGAUCCAGGCCAACCACGAGAUGCUGCUGCGGGAGGUGCAGACCCUGCGUGACCGGCUGUGCACGGAGGACGAAG
RNA transcript from Equus quagga, 4349 nucleotides. It is a transcript of the gene named FA core complex associated protein 100, with no coding region annotated. Lineage: Eukaryota; Metazoa; Chordata; Mammalia; Perissodactyla; Equidae. The transcript is spliced from 10 exons. The record is from RefSeq and is a predicted model, not a curated record.